GCCCAGACUCCUACGGGAGGCAGCAGUGGGGAAUAUUGCACAAUGGGGGAAACCCUGAUGCAGCGACGCCGCGUGAGCGAUGAAGUAUUUCGGUAUGUAAAGCUCUAUCAGCAGGGAAGAAGAUGACGGUACCUGUUUAGAAAGCUCCGGCUAACUACGUGCCAGCAGCCGCGGUAAUACGUAGGGAGCAAGCGUUGUCCGGAAUUACUGGGCGUAAAGGGCGCGUAGGUGGGCGCUUAAGUCAGGUGUGAAAACUCCGGGCUCAACCUGGAGACUGCACUUGAAACUGGGUGUCUUGAGGGCAGGAGGGGAAAGUGGAAUUCCUAGUGUAGCGGUGAAAUGCGUAGAUAUUAGGAGGAACACCAGUGGCGAAGGCGACUUUCUGGACUGUACCUGACGCUGAGGCGCGAAAGCGUGGGUAGCGAACGGGAUUAGAUACCCGAGUAGA
Molecule: ribosomal RNA, 448 nt
Filed under: uncultured bacterium
Lineage: Bacteria
Description: bacterial SSU rRNA
Rfam family: Bacterial small subunit ribosomal RNA
Source: RNAcentral